Molecule: ribosomal RNA, 306 nt
Filed under: uncultured bacterium
Lineage: Bacteria
Description: bacterial SSU rRNA
Rfam family: Bacterial small subunit ribosomal RNA
Source: RNAcentral
AACGAACGCUGGCGGCGUGGUUUAGGCAUGCAAGUCGAGCGAGAAAGCUCCUUCGGGAGUGAGUAAAGCGGCGAAAGGGUGAGUAAUGUAUAGGGAAGGUACCCUCGGGACCGGGAUAAUUCUUGGAAACGGGUUGUAAUACCGGAUGGUCCUUCGGUGUCUCAUGGCACUGUUGGUAAACGGAUUCUGCCUGAGGAGCCCCCUAUACCCUAUUAGCUUGUUGGUGAGGUAAUGGCUCACCAAGGCAUUGAUGGGUAGCCGGACUGAGAGGUUGGCCGGUCACACUGGAACUGAGACACUGUCCAG